GGCAUCGAUGAAGAACGCAGCGAAAUGCGAUAAGUAAUGUGAAUUGCAGAAUUCAGUGAAUCAUCGAAUCUUUGAACGCACAUUGCGCCCCUUGGUAUUCCGAGGGGCAUGCCUAUUCGAGCGUCAUUAUCACCCCUCAAGCCUAGCUUGGUGUUGA
This 157-nucleotide ribosomal RNA is filed under the name Tetracladium sp. EF-13. RNAcentral describes it as "5.8S ribosomal RNA". The stretch from base 2 to 126 matches the Rfam family "5.8S ribosomal RNA", at positions 30 to 154 of the family's 154-position model. From Rfam's summary of the family: 5.8S ribosomal RNA (5.8S rRNA) is a component of the large subunit of the eukaryotic ribosome. It is transcribed by RNA polymerase I as part of the 45S precursor that also contains 18S and 28S rRNA. Functionally, it is thought that 5.8S rRNA may be involved in ribosome translocation. The record is from RNAcentral. Lineage: Eukaryota; Fungi; Ascomycota; Leotiomycetes; Helotiales.